Molecule: long non-coding RNA, 1198 nt
Organism: Glossina fuscipes
Lineage: Eukaryota; Metazoa; Arthropoda; Insecta; Diptera; Glossinidae
Exons: 4
Source: RefSeq, a predicted model, not a curated record
UUACUAAACUUAAUCAUGUUCGGAAUGUUGUAAGAGUGCGGAAAAAAAGCACAAAGCAAUCCGCCUGGGAAACAAUAUAACACUCCUAUUAAAAAUAUUUGGCUGUAGUGGAAAGAAAAGCCCGUGAUAUACCUGUACAGCUGCACUACUAUUGGAGGGCUGGAAAUAUAUAAAGUAUCGAUAAGAUGAUAGCGGAAACUUAAUUCCUGAAACAGGAAAGUUCAGAUGCUGGUAAUACAGUAUUCAGUUAGCUUUUUUUUUGUCUGACCGCAAAUGUAGUGACAAACCUGUAAAUGCUAGUGCUUCAAUUUUUUUCUUAUUCAUUUCCAAGAUCGUUGUCUCUAUCUACGUUGCUCUGUAUUGCCAUUUUUUUUAAUACGUUUUCUAUCACGUGUACCGUUUUCAAUACCGAUAAAACGCGUUUAUAUGCGAAGCCAUAUUUUUUAAAUUAAGAUUAUUAUUAUUUUUUACAUACGUUUGAUGUUUUACGCGGUGUACUGAUGUGCCGUGUAUAAAUAUAUAUGUAUUCGCUUAUCAGCGUCUACAGAGUAAAUGAUAGAAUGGACAUGGCAUCUACUCACCAUAAGCUUCGAAAAAAACGUGCUAAAGAAAGUCUUGAUAAUCCCGGUGCUCGAAAAAAAUCUACAAAAUCGUUAAAAUUGUCGCUGAAAGUGUCAACUGUAAAUUGUCCGAAGCGAUUAUUUUCCAAUUUACUUUCAAUAGUGCGUUUGGUGCUUUAUUGCUUUUUAAACAAUGAGAGAGAACUUAACACACUCACAUAAUAUCAAAUGUGGUGCCCUGAGUUUUAAAAAAGUGUCAACCGAUAGAUAACAAAAUGGAAUUAAAAAUAGAUUUUUCUUGAAAAGCGCUCGAAUUUCUAGUCGUAAAAUCGCUUAUAUUUGCCGGGAAAUUGUUUUCUUAAAGAUAUUUCUCCUAUGUCAAUAAUUUAAAAAUAAAAAAUGGAGUGCUGGCAAUGCUGAAAGUAAAUUGUCUUCAAAAAAAGAAAUAAGUAUAGAAAAAACUAAAGGAAUCAAUAAAUUUCGAGUACUAAUCUGGAUAAAAAUAAAUAAAGCCUGUAAAGGUAUACAUAUAUAUUUGGAAGAAAAAAUCCAAAUGAUUAAAUUGCAACGAAUAAGUUCGUUUCGAAAAGCUGUGAAUUGGGCUUCUACCGUUAAACGAGAUGCCGCAGAUAUCCUUG